UAAGAACCUCACCUUUCUUGAUAUGAAGGUUGAGGUUAUGAUAUAAUGUGCCCAGUGGGCCACUUUUGGUAAGCAGACCUGGCGCUGUGGGAUGAACCAAACGUAAUGUUACGGUGCCAAAAUUAACAACUCAUACAGAUACCAUGAAAGGCGUUGGUUGCUUAAAACAGCAGGACGGUGGACAUGGAAGUCGUAAUCCGCUAAGGAGUGUGUAACAACUCACCUGCCGAAGCAACUAGCCCUUAAAAUGGAUGGCGCUUAAGUUGUAUACCUAUACAUUACCGCUAAAGUAAAUGAUUUAUAUUCAAUUGCUAUUGGAUUUAAUAAAUUUUGAAACUUUAGUGAGUAGGAGGGUAUAAUGGUGUGCAUAGAAGUGUUUGGCGUAAGCCUGCAUGGAGCCGCUAUUAGUACAGAUCUUGGUGGUAGUAGCAAAUAAUCGAAUGAGACCUUGGAGGACUGAAGUGGAGAAGGGUUUCGUGUGAACAGUGGUUGAUCACGAGUUAGUCGGUUCUAAGUUUAAUGCGAAAGCUGAAUAUUUUCAAAGUUUAUAAAAAGAACAAAAAAAUAAAUAUAAACAAACAUAUAAAACACUUUUGAUUAAUAUAGUUAAACGAAAUUUAAGGAGUUUUUAACAAGAGGUGUCAGAAAAGUUACCACAGGGGUAACUGGCUUGUGGCGGCCAAGCGUUCAUAGCGACGUCGCUUUUUGAUCCUUCGAUGUCGGCUCUCCCUAUCAUUGUGAAGCAAAAUUCACCAAGCGUUGGAUUGUUCACCCAUGCAAGGGAACGUGAGCUGGGUUUAGACCGUCGUGAGACAGGUUAGUUUUACCCUACUAAUGACAAUAUGUUAUUGCGACAGCAUUCCUGCGUAGUACGAGAGGAACCGCAGGUACGGACCAAUGGUACAAUACUUGUUCGAGCGAACAGUGGUAUGAUACUACGUCCGUUGGAUUAUGCCUGAACGCCUCUAAGGUCGUAUCCGCGCUGGACUGCAAUGAUAAAUAUGGGGCGAUUGCAUUGUAUGGCUUCUAAAUUAUUUUUUAAGUUUUAUAAGCAAUUAUAAAACGACACAAAUAAUUAUUUGUGACGCCAAUGUUGUAUGGUAACAUAGCUUAUGUAAGAGGAUUAAACAUCACUUGCAUAAUAUGCUCACACAUAUUAAAAACAUUAUUUUGAUACAAUGACAAGGCCUAGAAUCAAUUGUAAACGACUUUGGUAACGGGCAAGGUGUUGUAAG
RNAcentral lists this ribosomal RNA (1235 nucleotides) under Grallipeza ecuadoriensis. RNAcentral describes it as "partial 28S ribosomal RNA". It matches the Rfam family "Eukaryotic large subunit ribosomal RNA", at positions 1074 to 3341 of the family's 3401-position model. Lineage: Eukaryota; Metazoa; Arthropoda; Insecta; Diptera; Micropezidae. The record is from RNAcentral.